AAUAGAUACCCGGGUAGUCCAUGCCGUAAACGUUGGGCACUAGGUGUGGGGCUCAUUCCACGAGUUCCGUGCCGCAGCAAACGCAUUAAGUGCCCCGCCUGGGGAGUACGGCCGCAAGGCUAAAACUCAAAGGAAUUAACGGGGGCCCGCACAAGCGGCGGAGCAUGCGGAUUAAUUCGAUGCAACGCGAAGAACCUUACCAAGGCUUGACAUGCACGGGAAGCCACCAGAGAUGGUGGUCUCUUUGGACACUCGUGCACAGGUGGUGCAUGGUUGUCGUCAGCUCGUGUCGUGAGAUGUUGGGUUAAGUCCCGCAACGAGCGCAACCCUGUCCCAUGUUGCCAGCGGGUUAUGCCGGGGACUCAUGGGAGACUGCCGGGGUCAACUCGGAGAAGGUGGGGAUGACGUCAAAUCAUCAUGCCCCUUAUGUCUUGGGCUUCACGCAUGCUACAAUGGCCGGUACAAAGGGCUGCGAUACCGUAAGGUGGAGCGAAUCCCGAAAAAGCCGGUCUCAGUUCGGAUUGGGGUCUGC
This 532-nucleotide ribosomal RNA is filed under the name uncultured bacterium. RNAcentral's name for it is "bacterial SSU rRNA". It matches the Rfam family "Bacterial small subunit ribosomal RNA", at positions 777 to 1308 of the family's 1533-position model. The record is from RNAcentral.